AUGGGAACGCGAAGAACCUUACCUACUCUUGACAUCCAGAGAACUUUCCAGAGAUGGAUUGGUGCCUUCGGGAACUCUGAGACAGGUGCUGCAUGGCUGUCGUCAGCUCGUGUUGUGAAAUGUUGGGUUAAGUCCCGCAACGAGCGCAACCCGUUAUCCUUUGUUGCCAGCGGUUAGGCCGGGAACUCAAAGGAGACUGCCAGUGAUAAACUGGAGGAAGGUGGGGAUGACGUCAAGUCAUCAUGGCCCUUACGAGUAGGGCUACACACGUGCUACAAUGGCGCAUACAAAGAGAAGCGACCUCGCGAGAGCAAGCGGACCUCAUAAAGUGCGUCGUAGUCCGGAUUGGAGUCUGCAAC
RNAcentral lists this ribosomal RNA (359 nucleotides) under uncultured bacterium. RNAcentral's name for it is "bacterial SSU rRNA". It matches the Rfam family "Bacterial small subunit ribosomal RNA", at positions 954 to 1311 of the family's 1533-position model. The record is from RNAcentral.